Non-coding RNA from Schistosoma mansoni, 45 nucleotides. The record is from Rfam. NCBI's taxonomy places the organism in Eukaryota, Metazoa, Platyhelminthes, Trematoda, Strigeidida, Schistosomatidae.
AUCCAGACGACGAGUCCCAAAUAGGACGAAACGCGCGUGCUCGAU